Molecule: ribosomal RNA, 603 nt
Filed under: Zavrelimyia (Paramerina) sp. AU09.Ruth.T1
Lineage: Eukaryota; Metazoa; Arthropoda; Insecta; Diptera; Chironomidae
Description: eukaryotic LSU rRNA
Rfam family: Eukaryotic large subunit ribosomal RNA
Source: RNAcentral
UUCAAUACUGUUGUUCGCGCAACAGUGUGCACUUUUCCCUUAGUAAGACGUUGUGAUCCAUUAGGAAUCGAAAAGUCAUCCAAUGUUGACCUCUCAAUAGGCUACCAAUAGGCGGGCAUUGAAGUUCACUGUGAAAAACAACACGAUCCUCUGGUUGUGCAUAUUUUCUUGUGAGCAAUGCCAUGUCUGAUGUAGCUGCCUGAUGGUUUUUAAAGGCCAUGCCAUUGAUGCUUGCAUCACCCGACUCCGGUUGGGUUUUCGGCAUGUGCCCGAUCAACAACGGUUUCAUUUGGGAUACCUUUGGGACCCGUCUUGAAACACGGACCAAGGAGUCUAUCUAGUAUGGGAGUAAAUGGGAGUAAAAAACCUAUUUGCGUAAAUAACUUGACUGUAAUUUUAAUGGGAUUACGUGUGCAUUUACUUUCGUGGUGUGCGCACCUCCAUCCCGGAGUAUUUUCAUCACAUAUAUGGUUUCGGCCGUUAUAUAGAAAAUAUAUCAUGAGCAUACUGGACAUGACCCGAAAGAUGGUGAACUAUGCCUGAUCAGGUUGAAGUCAGGGGAAACCCUGAUGGAGGACCGAAGCAAUUCUGACGUGCAAAUCG